UUGGAGGCCUGAGCGAGCAGCCGGAUGCACUCGGAGCUGAAAAAAAAUCCUAAUUAGAGGGAUGUGCAGUCCUUCUUAUCUGACUCUCCACCCUUUGCUUGGUUUCUUGGUGAUUAACAAAAAGUAUCAGGUCAAUUCACUGGAAAAUUAUCCAGAAAAACAAGCUGUUCUUACUGAUAUAAAUCUGCUGUCAUGACAAAUCUUCCCCCGAGAGAAAAUGAGCUGGGCUGUGACAGAACGUGUCCGCUCCUUCACAUGCUGAAUAUUUCAUCAGCCAAUCGCCCACGUUAUCUUUAGUUUCUCCACCAUAUUAAAAUUUCACCACCACUCUUGUUCUGCUACCUCCAGGUGUGAAACUCACCCUCUCUGUAUCGAGCCUCCAGGGUGUGGGAGAGAGGAUAAGGUGUCACGGACACACCCCGGCCAGUCAACUGCACUUUGAGCUCCGUGUCCAAACCCCCCCUGAAGCGAUGCCAGACUCCAGACAGACCUUAUUAGAAGGUCCAAGUGGUGCUACAGGUAUUUUGCUGCAGACGCCCAGGCUACUUCCUCUGAUCUCACCUGACAACCAUCUUUCAUCAACGGCUCAACCCUAAUCUUGCUCUCUCAGCCAACCUCAGUAUCCUGUGUACCUGCGUGUGACUGACCCGCAACUGAACACUCGAGUGUGUGACUCUUCCUCUUGCUUCUUGCAUGGGAGGAGGGAAGGUGUCAGCACCGCACCACAGCCACCACCCACCUAGUCUGCCAACCGGCUCCCCUCAACCGGUGGAUGAUCUCCUGUUGACAGGCCAAGGGUUAUUAUCGUGGUUUCAGGGCUAAGAGGAAUGCUACUGCACUUCACAACAGAUGUCUUUUUAAUUCCUGACAAAACCACCCACAGAGAUGAGGAAAAAAAACGCUAUCACUGCUCUCAGCUGACCCACAGUGUAGACGUCUGGAACCUGUGAGUGACAGUUAAAGGUUUUCCUACCGAGCACCAGAUUGACUGACUUCUUAAAGAGGAAGUGUCCGACCCCCAGGAGCCACACCUGACUGUAUUAAAAGGCUCCUUGCAUUGUUUUGUCUUCCUCUUGAUUACUAAGGCAGACUGUAAUAAUGACCAGCAGUGAGACGCAUCAUCCGGGAAGGAUGCACACAAACUGGAGCAGCGAGUUGAUUCAGCUCAGACAGCUUGCUGUUCUCAGAUUCCUGCCAUAUUUCUGGAAUGCCACUGAACAAACAGAGGUGAACCUGAUCUAUGCUGUCACACUGUGGCACGGGGUAGAGUUUCCCCUAACUCUCUCUCUCACACACACACACACACACACACAACUUCCUCCUUGAUAUCCCAAAUAAAGACCCAAGC
Sebastes umbrosus (honeycomb rockfish) is the source of this 1348-nucleotide long non-coding RNA. RefSeq lists it as uncharacterized. The transcript is spliced from 6 exons. NCBI's taxonomy places the organism in Eukaryota, Metazoa, Chordata, Actinopteri, Perciformes, Sebastidae. The record is from RefSeq and is a predicted model, not a curated record.